Molecule: transfer RNA, 74 nt
Filed under: Verrucomicrobiota bacterium
Lineage: Bacteria; Pseudomonadati; Verrucomicrobiota
Also listed under: 1 other name
Description: tRNA-Cys
Rfam family: tRNA
About the family: Transfer RNA (tRNA) molecules are approximately 80 nucleotides in length. Their secondary structure includes four short double-helical elements and three loops (D, anti-codon, and T loops).
Source: RNAcentral
GGUUCGUUAGCCAAGCGGUUAGGCACGGGUCUGCAAAACCUGUUAGACUGGUUCGACUCCAGUACGAACCUCCA